This 171-nucleotide ribosomal RNA is filed under the name uncultured bacterium. Its description in RNAcentral is "partial 16S ribosomal RNA". It matches the Rfam family "Bacterial small subunit ribosomal RNA", at positions 1330 to 1500 of the family's 1533-position model. The record is from RNAcentral.
AAUUGCUAGUAAUCGCAGAUCAGCAUGCUGCGGUGAAUACGUUCCCGGGCCUUGUACACACCGCCCGUCACACCAUGGGAGUCGGUAACACCCGAAGUCGGUAGCCUAACCGUAAGGAGGGCGCCGCCGAAGGUGGGAUUGAUGACUGGGGUGAAGUCGUAACAAGGUAUC